RNAcentral lists this ribosomal RNA (253 nucleotides) under uncultured bacterium. RNAcentral describes it as "partial 16S ribosomal RNA". It matches the Rfam family "Bacterial small subunit ribosomal RNA", at positions 524 to 776 of the family's 1533-position model. The record is from RNAcentral.
UACGAAGGGUGCAAACGUUGCUCGGAAUUAUUGGGCGUAAAGCGCACGUAGGCGGCUUAGCAAGUCGGAAGUGAAAUCCCUCGGCUCAACCAAGGAAGUGCUUUCGAAACUGCUGAGCUUGAGUACUAAAGAGGAUCGCGGAAUUCCCGGUGUAGAGGUGAAAUUCGUAGAUAUCGGGAGGAACACCAGUGGCGAAGGCGGCGAUCUGGGUAGAUACUGACGCUGAGGUGCGAAAGCGUGGGGAGCGAACAGG